CCUGAGGAUUUCGUGAGCAGCGAUUACAUAAGGGGAAUGCAUAACAGGUUACCGAACGCAGGCUUCUUUCUGCCAUAUGCAUAGUUGACCCAGAGAAAAAACCUGGAGAACCGAUAAUCCUAGCACAAGGUCACGGGAGACACGUCAGGGGAUACCAACGUCACGGACCGAUACAUUAAAAGAGAAUAUGAAAUAAGGAUAGGAAAGUGCCGCCGAUCGCGCAGUCAUUCCUGACGUCCUGUGCUCCAUAACGCGUGUCUACACGAUGUAUAAGUACACGAGUGUCGUCAUAUAUUUCUGGACCUUCGUUAAACGUCGAAGGGGGACUUGCAUGAGAAAUGCAGAGACGUGAGUCCGAUCACGUAGAUCCAAUGGUUGACAUCAUUAGCAGUCAUUGUGAUAUCUCCUGGCCGCAGGACGAAUCCUACUGAUGCAAAUUCACAAAAAGAAGGAGAGAAUAAGAAUACAUGGAAUUCGCAGUCGUUUUUACUCGUUCGAUCGAUCCAUACGUGCCUACUUCUUAAACUAGGGGCCAUCGCACAAUGUUCCAUAGCGUAAAGAAGACCCCUGAUGUCGCGACUUCACUAUGCACUUGCUUAACCACGGUAUCUAUUGCUGUGUACUCCUGAUCGCUUGUUCUUUAUUUCUUCUACGCAUUGUUCCAGAGAUUUUUUAGUUAUAUUUCUUAUUCACGAUGCUCCUUUAGCUUCUUGCUUAUUCUAACACCUUGAAUCUUUCCCUUUGUCUUAUUUGUCCAAACAGGCGAUAUAUGAGAGCGCAUACUCCAGCUCGCGAGUGAAAUGUAUUUUCUUGACGAACUAAAAACAAUGUGGCUUGCUAAAUAUGUUAUUAUUAUUUUCCACGUAUAAAAAGAAAAUAACAUUGUACCCAUAGACCCACUAUUAAUGGGAAUAUUGUGAAAGAGACGUAUCUAAAAAUAAAUGAAAACUGUCUUAUUGAAAUACGAUUGGAGUAAAAGGUUUUAUUUAAUGGUAAAAAAAUAAGUCUAUGCUAUUCCGUAACAUUGAAAUGUACAGUACUGCAUUUGUCCUUUUGGAACGACGUAUAUUGAUAAUAACGAUAAAUAUUCUGUGUACAAUAGCGCACAUAAAAAGUAGAGGCAGAAAUACCAGAAAGAUUCAGCAUCAGUCCAUUUAAUAAAGACUAUUGGUCGUGACAUUCACUGGAACAGGUCUCGUGGUAGUCACGCACGAUUACCAAUUUGAUCUUAUCCACAGGACAAUAAAAAAGAACGUACAAAAAAGUUUACUAUAACGAAAACAAAACAGGACAUAACAUAAGACUGCGUGUGCCGCAGGUUUUAUCAUGCACAGUACAUCUUGUAUAUCAGGCGACGAAAUACAGUCCAAAAAAAAGAGAGUAAGCUAAGAAAAAGCACCAAAUCGUGUCCGAGUGUCAAUCUGUCUUCCUUAAUUAAUAUUUCAAACAGAAAAUCCAGCUUCGACAUAAUUUCGAUGAAACAUAAUUUCAAUGUACAUAACAAACCGAAGCAUCCUCGCAUACUAUGUACGUAUAUCCACAUGCGCAAAGGGCCCAACCGAACCGUUCGACGGUCCAGAGUGGAAUGAGCAGCACGAGAGUCGAGCGAAAAAAAAAACCCAAAG
This is a long non-coding RNA of Cephus cinctus (wheat stem sawfly), 1625 nucleotides long. RefSeq lists it as uncharacterized. NCBI's taxonomy places the organism in Eukaryota, Metazoa, Arthropoda, Insecta, Hymenoptera, Cephidae. The record is from RefSeq and is a predicted model, not a curated record. The transcript is spliced from 3 exons.